Long non-coding RNA from Panthera uncia (snow leopard), 524 nucleotides. RefSeq lists it as uncharacterized. NCBI's taxonomy places the organism in Eukaryota, Metazoa, Chordata, Mammalia, Carnivora, Felidae. The record is from RefSeq and is a predicted model, not a curated record. The transcript is spliced from 3 exons.
AUGCAGACCUAGACCUCUGCAAAACAAUAAAGCGGAAGAAAUUUGGGUCCGCCCAUGUGCUCUUACUGCACUGCGUCCUCCCUUCAUCUCCUUUCUGAUCUUUAUGUUUUUCUGUCUCUGUUUCCCCCGUCAACACAUACACGCAGUGCGAGAUACCAGCCACAGCAUCUUAAGACUUAAAGGUUAUCCAACCCCAUCCUCCCACUGCUGCUUCAACAAUGUGCUUAAAGCGUAGUGCCGCAAUCACUGCUUAGAAUUUAAAGAUGGAGGAAUCAUCAUGGCACCUUUAUUUAUGUGGGACUGGAUAAACCAGGAGUAGUUUGGAUCUGCUCAAGCAAACAGCCUGUGGACAGCUCCAUAACCAGAUUUGCAAAAGAGGCUGAGGAUUUUUGGACACAGCUAUCAGAUAUAUUUUAAAGAACUCAAGAGGAGAAGACAAGGCUAUUAUUUUUACCAAGGUAUUUAUCAUUUAUGUUGAUCUUCCUUCAUUCCUAAUAGUCUAAGUUUCCACUGGUAUAAUUUCC